GAUGAACGCUGGCGGCGUGCCUAAUACAUGCAAGUCGAACGGAGACAUUGUAGCAAUACGAUGUUCUUAGUGGCGAACGGGUGAGUAACGCGUUGGUGACCUGCCCCGAAGAGGGGGAUAACAGUCCGAAAGGACUGCUAAUACCCCAUGUGGUCUUUAGGAUUAGAUGCCUUCUGACCAAAGGAGUGAUCCGCUUCGGGAGGGGCCUGCGUCCCAUCAGCUAGUUGGUAGGGUAAUGGCCUACCAAGGCAACGACGGGUAGGGGGCCUGAGAGGGUGGCCCCCCACAAUGGCACUGAAAUACGGGCCAUACACCUACGGGUGGCAG
Molecule: ribosomal RNA, 327 nt
Filed under: uncultured Chloroflexota bacterium
Lineage: Bacteria; Bacillati; Chloroflexota
Description: bacterial SSU rRNA
Rfam family: Bacterial small subunit ribosomal RNA
Source: RNAcentral